RNAcentral lists this ribosomal RNA (327 nucleotides) under uncultured eukaryote. Its description in RNAcentral is "partial 18S ribosomal RNA". It matches the Rfam family "Eukaryotic small subunit ribosomal RNA", at positions 1470 to 1796 of the family's 1831-position model. The record is from RNAcentral.
CCCUUAGAUGUUCUGGGCCGCACGCGCGCUACACUGACGAUGUCAGAGAGUGUCUCCUUCACCGAGAGGUGUGGGUAAUCUUUUAAACAUCGUCGUGCUGGGGAUAGAUCAUUGCAAUUAUUGAUCUUGAACGAGGAAUUCCUAGUAAGCGCGAGUCAUCAGCUCGCGUUGAUUACGUCCCUGCCCUUUGUACACACCGCCCGUCGCUACUACCGAUUGAAUGGUUUAGUGAGGCCUUCUGACUGGCGCCGAUGCUCUGGCAACAGCGCGCCGGAUGCCGGAAAGUUGGUCAAACUUGAUCAUUUAGAGGAAGUAAAAGUCGUAACA